Long non-coding RNA from Balaenoptera musculus (blue whale), 465 nucleotides. RefSeq lists it as uncharacterized. The transcript is spliced from 2 exons. The record is from RefSeq and is a predicted model, not a curated record. NCBI's taxonomy places the organism in Eukaryota, Metazoa, Chordata, Mammalia, Artiodactyla, Balaenopteridae.
ACCGCCUCCUCCACCCACCGCCCCCGCUCUGUGUGAGGAGCCCCAUUUUACAGGCCAGGAUGCCGAGGCUCAGAGCAGAGGCACCCUCAGUUGCGUGAUCCCCUCCACAGUCUCUCUCUGUCUCCCUCCUUUUCCUGCCUGUCAGAGAGGAGAGACAAAGCGAGGCUGCAGAGAGAUGAAAGGACUUGCCCAGAGUCACACAGCAGCCAAUGGAGGAGCCAGACUUGAACCCUCGGCCCGCGCUGCACGCGAUGGGGGACUGGUGAAGAGUGUGGACUGAGAUGUGGACACACCUCGGUUUGGAGUUCCAGCUCUGCCAUUUCCUGGUGAUGUGAUCUUGGACAAGCAUCUUAACCUCACCGAGCCUCAGUUUUCUCAUCUGUGAAGUGGGGAUAAUUUUCUUAGGGUUAUUGUGACAUUGCAAUGACAUAGUACAAGUAAAAAAAUGUUUAGCACAGUGUUUGA